This 240-nucleotide ribosomal RNA is filed under the name uncultured bacterium. Its description in RNAcentral is "partial 16S ribosomal RNA". It matches the Rfam family "Bacterial small subunit ribosomal RNA", at positions 15 to 245 of the family's 1533-position model. The record is from RNAcentral.
GAUCAUGGCUCAGGAUGAACGCUAGCUACAGGCUUAACACAUGCAAGUCGAGGGGCAGCAUGAUUGUAAGCUUGCUUCAAUUGAUGGCGACCGGCGCGACGGGUGAGUAACACGUAUCCAACCUUCCGUACACUCAGGGAUAGCCUUUCGAAAGAAAGAUUAAUACCGGAUGGCAUAGUUUUCCCGCAUGGAAUAACUAUUAAAGAAUUUCGGUUAUCGAUGGGGAUGCGUUCCAUUAGG